RNAcentral lists this ribosomal RNA (253 nucleotides) under uncultured bacterium. RNAcentral's name for it is "partial 16S ribosomal RNA". It matches the Rfam family "Bacterial small subunit ribosomal RNA", at positions 524 to 776 of the family's 1533-position model. The record is from RNAcentral.
UACGGAGGGUGCGAGCGUUGUCCGGAAUCACUGGGCGUAAAGGGUGCGUAGGCGGGUCUUUAAGUCAGGGGUGAAAUCCUGGAGCUCAACUCCAGAACUGCCUUUGAUACUGAGAGCCUUGAGUUCGGGAGAGGUGAGUGGAACUGCGAGUGUAGAGGUGAAAUUCGUAGAUAUUCGCAAGAACACCAGUGGCGAAGGCGGCUCACUGGCCCGAUACUGACGCUGAGGUGCGAAAGCGUGGGGAGCAAACAGG